UACGUAGGGGGCAAGCGUUGUCCGGAUUUAUUGGGCGUAAAGAGCGUGUAGGCGGCUUGGUAGGUCCGCUGUGAAAACUGGAGGCUCAACCUUCAGAGGUCGACCGAAACCAUCUGGCUAGAGUCCGGGAGAGGAGAGUGGAAUUCCUGGUGUAGCGGUGAAAUGCGCAGAUAUCGGAAGGAACACCGGUGGCGAAAGCGGCGCGCUGGAUCUCUUCUGACGCUGAGGCGCGAAAGCCAGGGGAGCGAACGGG
This 253-nucleotide ribosomal RNA is filed under the name uncultured bacterium. RNAcentral's name for it is "partial 16S ribosomal RNA". It matches the Rfam family "Bacterial small subunit ribosomal RNA", at positions 524 to 776 of the family's 1533-position model. The record is from RNAcentral.